GCAGCUCCUGUUACGGUCACCGACUUCAGGUACCCCAGACUUCCAUGGCUUGACGGGCGGUGUGUACAAGGCCCGGGAACGUAUUCACCGCGCCAUGGCUGAUGCGCGAUUACUAGCGAUUCCAGCUUCAUAGAGUCGAGUUGCAGACUCCAAUCCGAACUGAGACCGGCUUUCGAGAUUUGCAUCACAUCGCUGUGUAGCUGCCCUCUGUACCGGCCAUUGUAUUACGUGUGUGGCCCAAGACGUAAGGGCCGUGAUGAUUUGACGUCAUCCCCACCUUCCUCUCUACUUGCGUAGGCAGUCUCACUAGAGUCCCCAACUGAAUGAUGGCAACUAGUGACAGGGGUUGCGCUCGUUGCAGGACUUAACCUAACACCUCACGGCACGAGCUGACGACAACCAUGCAGCACCUUGAAAAUUGCCCGAAGGAGGAUCUAUUUCUAAAUCUGUCAAUUCCCAUUUAAGUCUUGGUAAGGUUCCUCGCGUAUCAUCGAAUUAAACCACAUAAUCCACCGCUUGUGCGGGCCCCCGUCAAUUCCUUUGAGUUUCAUUCUUGCGAACGUACUCCCCAGGUGGCUAACUUAUCACUUUCGCUUAGUCUCUGAAUCCGAAGAC
This 615-nucleotide ribosomal RNA is filed under the name Epilithonimonas pallida. RNAcentral describes it as "Chryseobacterium pallidum partial 16S ribosomal RNA". Lineage: Bacteria; Pseudomonadati; Bacteroidota; Flavobacteriia; Flavobacteriales; Weeksellaceae. The record is from RNAcentral.